CGGAUGUAGCUCAGUUGGUAGAGCGCCGGUUUGUGGUACCGGUGGUCGCGGGUUCGAAUCCCGUCAUUC
RNAcentral lists this transfer RNA (69 nucleotides) under Bombella apis. It matches the Rfam family "tRNA". Rfam says of the family: Transfer RNA (tRNA) molecules are approximately 80 nucleotides in length. Their secondary structure includes four short double-helical elements and three loops (D, anti-codon, and T loops). Lineage: Bacteria; Pseudomonadati; Pseudomonadota; Alphaproteobacteria; Acetobacterales; Acetobacteraceae. The record is from RNAcentral. RNAcentral also lists the same sequence under 2 other names.